RNAcentral lists this transfer RNA (72 nucleotides) under Sphaerodactylus townsendi. Its description in RNAcentral is "tRNA-Leu". Lineage: Eukaryota; Metazoa; Chordata; Lepidosauria; Squamata; Sphaerodactylidae. The record is from RNAcentral.
GGGGCUGUGUCUCAGUGGAUCAGCCUCUGUUUUAGAUGCUGGAGGUCCUGGGUUCUAUCCCUGGCAACUCCA